AUUGAACGCUGGCGGCAUGCCUUACACAUGCAAGUCGAACGGCAGCACGGGAGCAAUCCUGGUGGCGAGUGGCGAACGGGUGAGUAAUAUAUCGGAACGUGCCCAGUCGUGGGGAUAACGUAGCGAAAGCUACGCUAAUACCGCAUACGAUCUAAGGAUGAAAGCGGGGGAUCGCAAGACCUCGCGCGAUUGGAGCGGCCGAUAUCAGAUUAGCUAGUUGGUGAGGUAAAGGCUCACCAAGCCGACGAUCUGUAGCUGGUCUGAGAGGACGACCAGCCACACUGGGACUGAGACACGGCCCAGACUCCUACGGGAGGCAGCAGUGGGGAAUUUUUGGACAAUGGGCGCAAGCCUGAUCCAGCAAUGCCGCGUGCAGGAUGAAGGCCUUC
RNAcentral lists this ribosomal RNA (389 nucleotides) under uncultured bacterium. RNAcentral's name for it is "bacterial SSU rRNA". It matches the Rfam family "Bacterial small subunit ribosomal RNA", at positions 30 to 419 of the family's 1533-position model. The record is from RNAcentral.